Prunus mume (Japanese apricot) is the source of this 955-nucleotide long non-coding RNA. RefSeq lists it as uncharacterized. Lineage: Eukaryota; Viridiplantae; Streptophyta; Magnoliopsida; Rosales; Rosaceae. The record is from RefSeq and is a predicted model, not a curated record.
AGGUAACCCACAACUUUUGAACCUCCCUUAAACCAAAGACUCCCGACUUAGAAGCUAACUAGGCAAUUGCCAGUGGCCAUGGACUGACAGACAAGCCAUCAAAACCAUUUUGGGCCGAGCCUUGGCCCAAUAUCAAAUAGGCCUAAUUUAGUCUUAUUAUUAUUGGCCCAGGAAAACAAACAAAACAAGCUCUCUCUGCGUGUGUGUGAGUGAGUGAGCCGCCCUACUAUGGAAUCCUUAGCCGUCUUCAACUCCUCACACUCACUCAGCUCUCCCUCAGAAGACCACUUCAUCCCAAAGCACCCUCGACCGCCCAAUCUGCAGAGCCCAAGCCCAAGGAGGACAAGCUCUGGGGCGGCCGCUUCGAAGAGAGCAUCACCGACGCCGUCGAGCGCUUCACCGAGUCCAUCUCCUACGACAAAUCUCUCUACAAGCAAGACAUUUUGGGCAGCAAGGCCCACGCUUCCAUGCUAGCCAAACAGGGAUUUAUUUUUCAAUCAUUUCGCCAUACGAAUACGAAUAAUUGAAGUCUACAACUACAACUGUCUAUCCAAACUGGAAACAGAUCCAUACGUCACUAUUGCGUGCAAAUAUUUUCGCUGCCGUUGGUUGCUUUAACCAGCACCAACCAUCACUCUCAUUGGAUCGUUGAAAACCCGUCAAAUCCUAAGCUUAUUCGAUCAAUUUGUCUCCUCCUGUUUUGGUGACACCUAUCCUAUUACAGGCUUGUAGCUAACUACAAAUUGUCCCUAUCUUUGUUCUUUGGAAGUGGACGACGAAAGCAAACUUGGCCUCGAUAAUUUUAGUAUGGCCAUGAGAUCUGGUUGGCCAUAAGAGCUCGUCAUGUUUUAUAAUAUUAUCGGGGAUUUAUAAAUCAUUGAUUGCUUCUUCUUUUUUUCAUUAUCAAAUCAAAUAAAUAAAUAAAUAGUCUGUCGUGGAGGAAACUAUUAUUUAA